Patiria miniata (bat star) is the source of this 1074-nucleotide long non-coding RNA. RefSeq lists it as uncharacterized. The record is from RefSeq and is a predicted model, not a curated record. The transcript has 3 exons. Lineage: Eukaryota; Metazoa; Echinodermata; Asteroidea; Valvatida; Asterinidae.
UAAUGCAAUGUUAUUUUCUGGCUGUUCCUUUUAGUGUACUUACCCCGCCAGCCUAAUUGCCCUAGUUAACAAGUUUGGACAUAUGUUCGUCGACAUUUAGGUCAUUUGAUAAUUCUAUCUUGAGAAUGAUUAUUUGGUAACAGUAUGUCAUCAUCAUUGUCAGUAAUCAAAGUCAACACUCCUUCUGAGUCAAUUUUAUGCGCGACGAGGGGUUGUGGUCAUUGCAUUACGGUAAGAGCGCUACCGCUCACAUGGUUUGUCCUCUUGCGAGCGGGCCGUGAAAGAAGCUCAGACCGAGCCAACCUUUGUCUAAAAGUCGCCCACUUUUCCCUCAUUUUUGGGCUGAGACAUUGCUGUCACAAGCUUUGAAGGUUGACAUCUCAAGUGCAUUACAGGCCUUCUCUAUUUUAUAUCAGGGGUCUUCUUUUAUGGUCUUCAUUGUCGUCUUAUUGGAAUCUUUAUUCGGAUCUUCAUUUGGAUUAUUUUGUAUAAUCGGAGAAAGUGAAUUAAAUUAAAACUUAAUCAAGUGAAUCAGUGUAAACAACCGUCUGAGUGUUCCAGUUCAAUUCUACUUGCUUUCCACCUUACUCUAUCUUCAUGAGGGUGAACCUGACCACCCUUAUCAUCGUUGGGGUUGCCACCUCGCGACAAAUUUUGGCGUCGUAGACAGGAUCAAGGUGCGACUUCAAGCAAGCAAGAUUAAUAUUCGUCAUCUCUGAUUUACAGAAUUGUUUAGUGUGUAUUUCUUGUUGUCCUCAGACCCCUGAUAUAUUUGUUGUUCUUUCCCUUUUUGGGAUAUGUAUAAAAAAAAAUGUUGGCCAUGUAGGUCAAUUUAUUGUCCGCCUGUUCCCCAAUGUGGCCGACCAUUUUUCAUGGAGCAUAUUCCCUCCGUUAUUAUGAUUCAAGUCUAAGCGUCGGCCAUAUCCAUGUGCUGGUGGACUGAUCCCUGAUCUUGGCAUCAUUCAAGUCAAGACUACAUCUCUCUUCCAACAUGUGAAUUUAUUGUGUAUGGCUUAUUAAUUGUGGUAGCAUUUUCCAAAUUACACUGACCACAUAUUUAUUUGUAAACAAUUG